CGCGCACCUCAGGAGCGGAGUUCCUGCCUUACAAGCAGGAUGCCGGCGGUUCGAAACCGUCCGCGCCCA
RNAcentral lists this transfer RNA (69 nucleotides) under Streptomyces sp. V2. Its description in RNAcentral is "tRNA-Val". It matches the Rfam family "tRNA". From Rfam's summary of the family: Transfer RNA (tRNA) molecules are approximately 80 nucleotides in length. The record is from RNAcentral. Lineage: Bacteria; Bacillati; Actinomycetota; Actinomycetes; Kitasatosporales; Streptomycetaceae.